Molecule: ribosomal RNA, 257 nt
Filed under: uncultured Stenotrophomonas sp.
Lineage: Bacteria; Pseudomonadati; Pseudomonadota; Gammaproteobacteria; Lysobacterales; Lysobacteraceae
Description: partial 16S ribosomal RNA
Rfam family: Bacterial small subunit ribosomal RNA
Source: RNAcentral
UGGCGGACGGGUGAGGAAUACAUCGGAAUCUACUCUGUCGUGGGGGAUAACGUAGGGAAACUUACGCUAAUACCGCANACGACCUACGGGUGAAAGCAGGGGAUCUUCGGACCUUGCGCGAUUGAAUGAGCCGAUGUCGGAUUAGCUAGUUGGCGGGGUAAAGGCCCACCAAGGCGACGAUCCGUAGCUGGUCUGAGAGGAUGAUCAGCCACACUGGAACUGAGACACGGUCCAGACUCCUACGGGAGGCAGCAGCC